Molecule: ribosomal RNA, 523 nt
Filed under: Cyrtosus semimarginatus
Lineage: Eukaryota; Metazoa; Arthropoda; Insecta; Coleoptera; Melyridae
Description: partial 16S ribosomal RNA
Rfam family: Bacterial large subunit ribosomal RNA (bases 387-523)
Source: RNAcentral
CAUGUCCUUUUGAUUAUAAUUUAAGGUCUAAUCUGCCCACUGAUUUUUAAAUGGCCGCAGUAAUUUGACUGUGCUAAGGUAGCAUAAUCAUUAGUUUUUUAAUUGAAAGCUGGAAUGAAUGAUUGGAUGAAAUAAAAUCUGUCUCAAUUUUAAUAAAUUAAAAUUUUAUUUUUAAGUUAAAAAGCUUAAAUUUAAUUAAAAGACGAGAAGACCCUAUAGAGUUUUAUAUAAUUAAAUUAAUUUAAAUUAUUAAUAAUAAAAUUUUAUUAAUUUAAUUAUAUUUUGUUGGGGUGAUAGAAAAAUUUAAUGAACUUUUUUUUAUUUAAAACAUUAAUAAAUGAUUAGAUGAUCCAUUUUUUAUGAUUAUAAGAUUAAAUUACCUUAGGGAUAACAGCGUAAUUUUUUUUAAGAGUUCAAAUCGAAAAAAAAGAUUGCGACCUCGAUGUUGGAUUAAAGUUUAAUUUUGGUGUWGCAGCUAAAAAUUUAAGUCUGUUCGACUUUUAAAACUUUACAUGAUCUGAGU